CCUCAGACCACAGGGAGGAGGGGUCAACCACCGGCCACCUGCAGUUGAGUCUCCAGACACCUUGGAUCAGAGAGUGGAUUUUCCUGACUUGGUCCUUGUCCCACGGAACCCACAGGCAGAGGAUGAUGAAAUUCCACGCCACUUGAUGUGGUGUGAUUUUUCAUGCAGAGCAAUCUUGUCUGCUGGAUGCGACUACAAAUAACUUCUCUUCAACGGGGAUCAAAGUGC
This is a long non-coding RNA of Mus musculus (house mouse), 228 nucleotides long. RefSeq annotates it as predicted gene, 52183. The record is from RefSeq and is a predicted model, not a curated record. NCBI's taxonomy places the organism in Eukaryota, Metazoa, Chordata, Mammalia, Rodentia, Muridae. The transcript is spliced from 3 exons.